AGCCAAAGUUGAGUCGGAUGCCUGACCGACUGAGCCACCCAGGUGCCCCUAAGUUGCUUUAGAUGGAGUCCAUCCACUUUGUUAGAAAUGCAUAUGAGGAGGGACCCCAGUAGGGCCGGGCACCCUCAAGGCACUUUGAUGACUGAGAUCCCGUUUCUGAGUUUUUUUUUUUUUUUCUUUAGAGCAGAAAGAAAAAAAAAAAAAUUAACAGUUUCAACAGGAAAAGCCUACUUCCAGGAGGAAUCGGUAUAAAGGCCUGCACAGUUCCAAUAGGACAGCCCAGUUUCAAAAGAAUUAGACUUGAGGCCACUGUUUCAAGAGGGACCGUCUAGUUCUGAAAGUGAGUCAGCCCAAAGGCUAACACAGUCUUAAUGGGAACAGUCCCAAUUCCAAACACGAGUGGAACCGAAGGCCCAAGGGACACUUGCAGAAAGGACAAAGCCUUUAAACCCAUCCUGAAGAAAGCCUGGAGACCUCAGGAAGCUGGGGCUCGAAAUCGAGGAGAAAGCAUAGCUUCAAACUCCAGGAGCAGCAAGAAAGCCGUGGGCUCGGUGGUUUCCGUGGGUAUUGGCAUAUUUGCUCACCAGCCUCAGAAUUGUUGAGGCGGUCUCAGGAUCUGACUUCUGACACCAGAUAAUAUUAACCUCGACUAUAAAACGGCCAGCUAUCUUACCAGCAAGAAAGGAUUUAUCUGAGACUAGAGAAUUCGGGAGAAGCACGCUCCGGCAAAGCCAUGGUAUGCAUUGCGAAUAGAGACCUAGCUGGGAACGACUCUUGCCCGUGUCCGAGUAAGUAACGCGAACUGUAUUUUCUAGGAUCUGUGGCCUUUAUGGUUUCAUGUUAGAACUUACCAAAGCCUAACAUCCACGAAACUUGGAAUGCAGAAGCGAAAUAGGAUUCAGUCAGGUUUUGGAGUCAUCUGUGUGGAAGGAGACAGAAGGAUAGGGCUUUCCGGAUGCUUGUUUCCAGCCUGUUUUCCUCAUUCUUUGCGAUGCCCAUCAGUAUUCCCAACCCGCCACCAACUGCUAGACUUCCAUCUGACCCCGAGCAGUAGGCUUCUCCAGUUGUCUCCACUGUCCGACUUUGAAGAACCAGCAGAGUCGAGAUUUCCUGCGAUCCGUCAUGUGCCCACCCGGAAACAGAUUUCUACCAUCACGGGUUGUGUGCUCUACUCCCCUCUUCCCUAGAUCCGGUUCAUACAAGGUCGAAUUUGUGUAGUAAACACCUGUUGUGUUAA
This is a long non-coding RNA of Herpailurus yagouaroundi (jaguarundi), 1237 nucleotides long. RefSeq lists it as uncharacterized. The transcript is spliced from 2 exons. The record is from RefSeq and is a predicted model, not a curated record. NCBI's taxonomy places the organism in Eukaryota, Metazoa, Chordata, Mammalia, Carnivora, Felidae.